UGAAGAGCUACAGCCCGGUGG
This 21-nucleotide unclassified non-coding RNA is filed under the name Chlamydomonas reinhardtii. RNAcentral describes it as "small RNA Cre_2844". The record is from RNAcentral. Lineage: Eukaryota; Viridiplantae; Chlorophyta; Chlorophyceae; Chlamydomonadales; Chlamydomonadaceae.